Molecule: transfer RNA, 74 nt
Organism: Loxodonta africana (African savanna elephant)
Lineage: Eukaryota; Metazoa; Chordata; Mammalia; Proboscidea; Elephantidae
Rfam family: tRNA
About the family: Transfer RNA (tRNA) molecules are approximately 80 nucleotides in length. Their secondary structure includes four short double-helical elements and three loops (D, anti-codon, and T loops).
Source: Rfam
CCCUGAGUGGCACAAACAGUUAAUGCACUUGGCUGCUGACCAAAAGGUUGGAGGUUCAAGUCCACCCAGAGGCU